CCUACGGGAGGCUGCAGUGAGGAAUAUUGGUCAAUGGGCGAGAGCCUGAACCAGCCAAGUCGCGUGAAGGAUGACGGCCCUACGGGUUGUAAACUUCUUUUGUCAGGGAGCAAUUUGGUCCAUGCGUGGGCUUAGCGAGAGUACCUGAAGAAAAAGCAUCGGCUAACUCCGUGCCAACAGCCGCGGUAAUACGGAGGAUGCGAGGGUUAUCCGGAUUUAUUGGGUUUAAAGGGGGCGAAGGCGGAAUAUCAAGUCAGCGGUAAAAAUUCGGGGCUCAACCCCGUCGUGCCGUUGAAACUGAUGUCCUUGAGUGGGCGAGAAGUAGGCGGAAUUCGUGGUGUAGCGGUGAAAUGCAUAGAUAUCACGAAGAACUCCGAUUGCGAAGGCAGCAUACCGGCUCCAUACUGACGCUGAGGCACGAAAGCGUGGGGAUCGAACAGGAUUAGAUACCCGUGUAGUC
RNAcentral lists this ribosomal RNA (460 nucleotides) under uncultured bacterium. RNAcentral describes it as "partial 16S ribosomal RNA". It matches the Rfam family "Bacterial small subunit ribosomal RNA", at positions 338 to 795 of the family's 1533-position model. The record is from RNAcentral.